RNAcentral lists this long non-coding RNA (7072 nucleotides) under Cricetulus griseus (Chinese hamster). RNAcentral describes it as "lncRNA (ENSCGRG00015030623.1)". Lineage: Eukaryota; Metazoa; Chordata; Mammalia; Rodentia; Cricetidae. The record is from RNAcentral.
CUGCCUUCAAGUAUCAUUUUAUCAGCUAAACAGAGUAAAUGACAAAGAGAAGAAUAUUGCUAAUGACAUUCCCAAGUGUGAUAGAUUUCUUCCAGUCCAAUAUGCUUAUGCAGCUUAUACAGCUUUGAUCUCAUGUGUCCUUCAUACCAGCAACAGGGAAACAAAGGUCUUACAGGUCAUCCAUCUCAAGCUGAUUUCACCCCUCACUUUUCAAGGCCUUUGGCAUGUGUGAGUCAGGCAUGUACUUACUACAUUACACUACUAGUUCAGAUUGGUAUAAGUCCUGAGCAUCUGCAUUUUUACCAAGUUCCCAGACUAAUUGGAGGCUGCUAGGAUCCCAGAAUUCACACAAUUCAACAGCAGUUCAAAAUAUUUAUGCUUGUCCUUGCUGAGAAAGAAAUUUAAUAGAAACAGCUCCUGAGUACACAAUAAAGUGAAAAUAGCAAUCUCAAACUGUAUGGAAGUCAACUGUACUUAUAAAACAGAAACCGGAAGGGUCAGAUCUGCAGAUUCAAAGCUAUCCAAUCUCCAUGACACAGGGGAACAACAGGAUAUCCCUUCAAGAGGAGUCCCUUCAAGGGCUCUAUAUCAAUAGUAUAACAGAAACCAGAGGCCUUGAGCCAGACCAAUGACUCAAUACAAUGAACAUUCACAAGUAAAGAUGUAUGGACUAAGGGCCACAAAGGCUUACACUCUGAGAUUUGGGUUUUUUUUAUGGUUUUGAGCUAUACUUUUAAAUUUUGUUUUGUUUUGGGGAGGAGGUUGAAAGGGCAGAGGGUGGAGGUGAGGGUAUGGGGAGAUGAGUGGGAUCUGGAUGUAUGAUGUGAAAUCUACAGAGAAUCAAUAAAAAGUAAAGAAACCAUAACAGGUAAGAUCGUUUUACUAAGAGUAAAGGUUUGCACUGCAAAAAUUGUUACCUUGGAGCUACACACUCCCCCAAAACUGAAAAGCAUAACUGUAUUUGAUACAGAUGGCGAUAACCCACUCUAAGGUCAUUAGCAUAGCUCCUCGAAUAAUAUAUGACUAAUAACAACAAAUAAAACCAGAAGUAAUUUUGCUCACUAAAGUACAUUUAGAUUGCUUAUUAUAUAAGACAUAGUUAUUGCAUUGUUUAGGAUAUAGCAAUAGAAAUCUGUAUGUUCAAUAUAUAUACUAUAUUUCCUUUCAAAUUUUUGAUUCACAGAAGUAGAACCCUUGACAUAGAAGGAGUUUUGUAUUUUCAAAUAAGUUGUCAUGUAUUAUUACGUCUCAUCUUGAUGCAUUUUACUGAAAAAAUUAAUAUUUUCUUUCUAUUUUUCAGUUCCAAGAACUUUGGGAUGUUAUUGAUAUUUCAAUCUCCAUCAAAUUUUGUCAAUUCACAUAGUUUUUUUCUUAUUGAUUUCAAUUGUUUCCUUACAUUUUUUAAUUACUACAACAGUUAUAGGUCAGUUAUUUUGAAUUUUUACCAAGCCAUUGUCCCUCAUCUUUCCACUUAGUAAUAUCAUGAUUCCUAUCGGUUUUAAAGUUAUGGCCAUACAUCAAUGUCUACAUACCCAAGGAAGCACUUUUUCCAUUCAAGAAUCAGUGCAGGGCUGACUAUCUAUAUCUGGGCAGCUUUGCCCAUUUCAAUGUUUUUAGAUGCCCAGCCCCAUAAAACUGAAGAGAGAUCUGUGUGACCACUGACAAGUGUACACUGAAACAUACCUAAAGUUCACAGCGAUGGAAAUAGCCCAAUUUCCCAUUCUCUCCUGAAGUCUAAAGCUAUUGUAGUUUGAUAAUAUUGAUAUAGGCUGUAGAUGAGUUCACCUUGAUGCAUUUGGGUGUCUGACUAGUCAGUGAUUAUUCUUGGAGACUGUAUCAGCUCAAGGACAUGGCGGGGAAGGGCGGCAGAGUUGUCCCAAUGUUAGGAUUUACUGUGGUACAUCUGAUGUUAACAGGCACAGAAAAGUCAAAAGCUUAUGUUUCCCUCUCCCCCAGAUCAAAUUUCUGUCUGCCCAGGCUGUUUUCACUGAGUUUGAAGAUAAAGCAAUGCUGGUCCUAUGAACUGUUCUUCCUUUUCUUUACAGUGAAUCUUCUUCUUUUUUAAUAAAUCCUUAUUUAUUUUACAUCCUGUCUGUAGUUUCCUCUCCCUCCUCUCCUUCUAGUCCUUCGCCCUUCCAUGUCACCUGUUCCCACCUACCCCUAGUUCACUCCUCCUCUUCUGUUUCUGUUUAGGAAAAGACAGGUUUCCCUUGAGUGUCAACGAAACAUAGAAUAUCUAGUUGAGGUAGGACUAAACACCUCCCCAAGUAUUAAGGUUGGGUGAGGUGACCCAGUAAAAGGAGUAAGGACCCCAAAGCAAGUAAAAGAGUUGGAGAUAGACCCUGUUCCCACUGUUAGGACUCCUAACAAGAGGAUCAAGCUACACAAUUCUAACAUAUAUGCAGAGUGUCUAGGUCAGUCCCAUGCAGAUUCCCUAGUUUUCACUUCAGUCUCUUUGAGCCUAGGUAAAUUGGUUCUGUGAGUUUUCUUGUAUUGUCCUUGAUCCCUCUGGUUCCUACAAGCCUUACUCUCUCUUUUGUGGGUUUCCCUAAUGUUUGACUAUGGGUCUGCAUCUGUUUCCAUCAGUUGCACGAUGAAGCCUCUCUAAUGACAACUGGGCUAGGCACCAAUCUGAUCACAAGAGAUGGCCAGUAGAGGCUAUGCAUCUGCUGUUGCUAGGAGUCUUAGCUGGGGUCAUCCUUGUAGAUUCAUGGGAUACCCUUGUGCCAGAUUUUUACCUAGAAAACCCUACCCCCUUCCAGUAGUUUUUUUCAGUAUUCUCCCCCUCUGCCAUUCCCCCAACCUGUUUGCUCAUGUUCCUAUCCCCACCUGCUCACAGUCCAUUCACAAAAUCUCUUCUAUUUCCCCUUCCCAGAGAGAUUUGAGCAUCACCCCAUUAACCCCACAGUCAUGUGGCAUGGUGUCAUCCCUUGUUUCUAUACUCUGGUGAAGGUACCUUAAUAAUACCUGGUGAAUAAUACGUUAACAGUGAUUAUUUUCAUCCCAGUUAGAAUAAAAGAGACAUUAGACUUCAUGAUUUGAGUAUCUUCAGAGAUCUGAAACAUUAUCCUAAGAGAUCUAGCUUAAGUUGAGGUUUUAAAUAGAAUUUUAAAAAUUAAACUGAAAUUUGCAUCUAGAUGCUGUUAUUAUUUUAAAAACAUAUUUAUAUUUUGCCAUUUAUUCAUUUAAAUUGUUUCUUUUAUUUUUGAGUUUUACAGUAAAAUUACAUUAUUUCCCCAUUCCCCUUUCUUCCAUAAAAUCCUCUCAAUGUGCUCUUUUGUCUCUUUUUCAAAUGUAUGUGUAUGUGUGUGCCUGAGUGUAUAUGUGUUCACCACAUGCAUGCAGGAGUUUGCAGAGGAGAGAAAAGAGCAUUGCAUCCACUAUAACAGGAGUUCUUUGAAGUUGUCAGCAGUCAUGUGGGUUCUGGGAACCAAAUCCAGGUCUUCUGGAGAAAUAUCAAGUACUUCUUACACAAUGAUCCAGCACUCCUUCCCCAAGCUGUCAUGUGACUCUUGAUUAUUUUUAUAUCUAAACAAGAAAGUUGCUCCCAGUUCCUUUUACCUUUCUAUGCAUGAAACACAAACUGGUUCUUUCUAUUUUCUCUUCUAUAUAGAGUUUGUUGCAUAUAUGCAUAUGUGCAUAUAUAUAUGCAUAUAUAUAUGCAUAUGUGCAUAUAUAUAUAUAUGUGUGUGUGUGUGUGUGUGUGUGUGUGUGUGUGUGUGUGUGUGUGUUACAACAGGACAUUAUGCUAAAGGAAGCAGAAUAACCUAUUGAUGUGUCUCCCACUGGAAAGAAAUUAGCCUCUAGUCUCACAGUGUUACUAUAAAAACAAAACAAAAAUGUCUUUUCCAAUUGGAUUAAGACACAGCAGAGUGGUUACAUAUUUAUAUAGCUUCAGAUAGAAUACUUCCACAGGAAAAAAAUGACAUUUUGUGAUGCAAUGAGAACUAGACAAAACAUUCAUAUAUAAAGAGCAAUAUCUUUUAAUAUUAGAAACCAGUCAUUUCUUAGGUGACUAUGAAAGUAGAAGAUAUUUCCACAAAUGCACUGUAAAGCACAUUCUAGCAUUUCUAAUAUUCCUUAAAAUAAUUCCUUUAUUAUCAUUUACAUCUCAAUACUAUAACAACUCUUGAGUUUGCAUUAGUUGCAGCUGAGCAGAAAGAGGAAAGCCUGUUCAGGUUUUAAAAGGGCUAUGCAGCACAGAAUAUGGCAACAUACUUUAAGUAAGAAAAGCUAAAAAUGUCCAUUUCAUGGUGAGGGACAAACCUUAUGAGCUCAGUGUUAGGAAGUAAAAAAGAAAAUCGCUGUGAUUUCUGACCUUGCUGUGCCAAGGACUCUAGCAUGGAAGAGACAAACAAUAUAUAAGCAAUGGCUCAUAUGCCUGCUAUUCAUUUUUCAAUCUUAAAUAUCUUUCCAUAUAUUUCAUACUUAUGAGAUACUUUAUGUUAAUAGUCCCAAGGUACAUUUGCAGUAAAUGAAGAAAAGAAAAAUUGCUCAGAAUGUACACUUUUGAAAUUUGCCAUCAUGGAGUGCAACAAUAAAUCAGAACCAAACAAGAAAAAUUGGUUCUAAAGAAAUUGAAGUCCACUCAAGGUUACAAAUGACGGACUUUACAAAGUACUGGAUUUUAUAAAAAUAUAGGCUACAGUGUCAAAUUAAUCAUUUUGAAAUAUGCUUUGGCUUAGUGAAUAUAUAUAUAUUAUAUAUAUAAUAUAUAUAUGGAGAGAGAGAGAGAGAGAGAGAGAGAGAGCAUACACACACACACACCACCAUUUCUUCAACUAAAUAUAGGUGUGUUUUGUAAAAACAAAGCAUAUAUUAAGUCUUCAUUUUUAGAUUGGUUUUAUCAAAAAUCUUCAUGUAGCCAGUGCGUAAAUGUAGUCGUGUUUGCUACCUGUAAAGUAGAAGAAACAUUACCAAUCAGAAAGCAGUGGGAUAACAAUUAGCUAAAAUAGUCUUUCCCUACAUAUCCAAGUUAUGAUACUUUCAAUUAUACAGCCCAAUAUCUCAAACUAAGAGAGAGAUCCUCUAAGAGAUUCAUCAUUAAGGGAACACAUGUUCCUAUCCACGAAUUACACAUUGAAAGCUGAAUCCUAACUUGCAGGAGUUGAGCAUAAUAAGACCAGGGAGGGUAGCUAAUUAAAUCAGCUGCCAAACAUCACAAUACACUCAAGACUGUCUUCCAUAAAGAGGAGGAUAUGUCACUACAACCAAAAUGUGCUUGGUCCAUUUCCCGCAUGAUGUAUGCAGUAAACUACAUUCUCUUUAACACUUUACAUGUUUCCGUUUAGACAGCUGUCUCCUUUUAGGAUGUUGUCUACAGAUGUGUGCCAGACACAUGCUUUUUAGAAUGUUCCAGCAUGGCCCCUCAAAAUUCUAAGCCUGGAACAAUCAAGGUAUUGCCAAGGAAAGUCUGUUUAUGGGGAAAAUGCUUUCUUCAUAACAAUGGAAAGCAUUCAUAAAACAGACACUUAGUGAUGAAGACAUUAAAAGUUUUUAAUUGUUUUUACCAAUUAGUCAUAGAAGAAUCUAAGGAAAUUUGUAUUGGAGGAUAAUUAAGCAAUGAUUAAGUUAAUCAUGUAAUUAAAGAAAAUUAUAACUUGCAUAGGUAUGCUUUUGUACUUGAGGAGCGAUUUGAUCAAUUUUAGUGGAUAGUUUUUUUUAACCUAUCAUAGACACAUGAAUAUACAUCAUAACUUGCUGUCGGGCUAACAGGAAAUAUUAAGGUAUUUUAACUUUUGGAGGGGAAUAUUAUUUAUUUUCUUCUGUUUUUUAUUGAAAAUAAUGUUUCUGUGCUGUAGAUUUAGCUGCUUUGAUCUCAUGAGUCGGAUGAGUAUUUUUCCUGCAUGUAUAUCUGUGUAUCAGCCUGUGCAAUGACUGUGGAGGCCAGGAGCAGGCAUCAACCUCCUGCCCCCAGAGCCAGCAGCCACCUUCUGGGUCCUUGGGAAGAGCAAUGAUGCUCUUAGCUUCCCUGACAUUACUCCCCCUCCUAUGUUAACUAUUACAAUGUGGACAUGUCAGGUUAGCAUUCUAAGCACAUGUUGUGCAAACAAAUUUUAGAAUGAGUGGUAGAAAUUAUCCAGAGCACAACAUUGAGCUGCUUUAUCCAAUAAAAAUGUUCAAUUUCCCACAAAAUAAAUAUUGGUAAAAUUCCACAUUAGUUUUGAAAACACUAAUGUGAUUAACCUAGACUUCAACAUAGACAAUUAGAUAUUUUAUAAUAUUCUAUAAUGUCUCAGAAGACAUAUCAUAGUGUUUAGUUCAAGUUACUGGAAACACAAAAAAUUCAGUUAGGAAUGAUGUGAUAAUUCUUGUAAAAUGUCUAGCAUGACUGGGUAUUGGUGGUGCAGGCCUUUAAUUCCAGCACUUGAGAGACAGAAGCAGGUGGAUCUCUGUGAGUUCAAGGCCAGCCUGGUCUACAGAGAGUGCCAGGAUAGACUCCAAACAUACACAGAGAAACCCUGUCUCAAAAAUAAACAAAACAAAAUAAAAGUCUAGCAUGGUUAGUAUUUGUUCAAUAUCAGUUAAUGAGAUAAAAAUAAAAAUUUCUACAUAAGACAAUUUAUGGUUAAUCUCUAACUUAAGGAGAAUAAAGCGUUUUAUUUGGAAUUUCUAAUCUUUCAAACCAAGCAUUUUCUACUCAUGCUGCAUUUGUUGUGUGUGUGGGGGGCAUAUAUUGGGAAAUUUUCCUUCCAAGUUAGUUCACUUUUAGCCCAGGCUAAUUUACUUACACUUUCAUUUUUAUGUAGAAAAACUUGGACAUUAAUAUACAUAGUGCCUUGAACACCCUCAAAAGUUUUGCCAAAACUCUUAAGUAUUAUCUACAAUUACCUACUUUUGCUUUAAACUAGGUUACUCAAUUAAUUAACUGAUUUUCUUGUAAUUUUAUGUUCUAAUUUUCACCUAGUGAUUUCUUUAUCAUCAGGAUGCUAUGCUGUUAACCCAUGAAUGGGAAAAGGUAUGGCUAAUGUGUAUAGGCAGCCAAUCAAGUUUUAUGAUGAUAUUUGUUUACAUUGUUUCAUCAAAAUCUAUAUAUUCCUAUAUCUUCAUUUUUUAUCUUGCUCUUAUGAAU